RNAcentral lists this ribosomal RNA (577 nucleotides) under uncultured bacterium. RNAcentral's name for it is "bacterial SSU rRNA". It matches the Rfam family "Bacterial small subunit ribosomal RNA", at positions 399 to 989 of the family's 1533-position model. The record is from RNAcentral.
CCGUGAGGGACGAAGGCUUCUGAGUUGUUAACCUCUUUCGACAGGAACGAUUGUGACGGUACCUGUAGAAGAAGCACCGGCCAACUAUGUGCCAGCAGCCGCGGUGAUACAUAGGGUGCAAGCGUUAUUCGGAUUUAUUGGGCGUAAAGAGCUCGUAGGCGGUUCGACAAGUCGGGUGUGAAACCCCCAGGCUCAACCUGGGGCAGCCACCCGAAACUGUUGUGACUAGAGUUUGGUAGGGGAUCACGGAAUUCCUGGUGUAGCGGUGGAAUGCGCAGAUAUCAGGAGGAACACCAGUAGCGAAGGCGGUGAUCUGGGCCAAUACUGACGCUGAGGAGCGAAAGCGUGGGGAGCGAACAGGAUUAGAUACCCUGGUAGUCCACGCCGUAAACGGUGGGCACUAGGUGUGGGGACUUUUCAACGGUUUCCGAGCCGCAGCUAACGCAUUAAGUGCCCCGCCUGGGGAGUACGGUCGCAAGACUAAAACUCAAAGAAAUUGACGGGGGCCCCGCACAAGCAGCGGACCAUGUGGCUUAAUUCGAUGCAACGCGAAAAAACUUACCUACGUUUGACAUGU